CGCUGGCGGCGUGGCUAAAACAUGCAAGUCGUACGGAAAGGUUGCUUCUGAUCCUUCGGGUGACGAAGCGAUACUCGAGUGGCGAAAGGGCGAGGAAUACAUGGGCAACGUGCCUUAUGCACGAGGAUAACUGCGGGAAGCUGCAGUUAAUACUCGAUAAGACCACAGCAUCUUCGGAUGCAGCGGUCAAAGGUGGGGACCUUCGGGCCUACCGGCAUUAGAGCGACCCAUGUCCUAUCAGCUUGUUGGUGAGGUAACGGCUCACCAAGGCGACGACGGGUACCGGGACUGACAGGUUGACCCGGCGCAUCGGGACUGAGACACUGCCCGGACUCCUACGGGCGGCUGCAGUAACGAAUAUUCCGCAAUGGGCGAAAGCCUGACGGAGCGACGCCGCGUGUGGGAGGAAGCCCUUCGGGGUGUAAACCACUGUCAGGGAUUACCAAGCAAAGUUGGCGAAUAGCCUUCUGCGUUGAGGCGUCCCAGAGGAAGCCACGGCUAACUUCGUGCCAGCAGCCGAGGUACUACGACGGUGGCGAGCGUCGUCCGGAAUCACUGGGCUUACAG
This 567-nucleotide ribosomal RNA is filed under the name uncultured organism. RNAcentral's name for it is "bacterial SSU rRNA". It matches the Rfam family "Bacterial small subunit ribosomal RNA", at positions 34 to 565 of the family's 1533-position model. The record is from RNAcentral.